This 451-nucleotide ribosomal RNA is filed under the name uncultured bacterium. Its description in RNAcentral is "bacterial SSU rRNA". It matches the Rfam family "Bacterial small subunit ribosomal RNA", at positions 30 to 507 of the family's 1533-position model. The record is from RNAcentral.
AUUGAACGCUGGUGGCAUGCUUAACACAUGCAAGUCGAACGGUAACAGGUCUUCGGAUGCUGACGAGUGGCGGACGGGUGAGUAACGCGUAGGAAUCUGCCCAUUUGAGGGGGAUACCAGUUGGAAACGACUGUUAAUACCGCAUAAUAUCUGUGGAUUAAAGGUGGCUUAGGCUGCCGCAGAUGGAUGAGCCUGCGUUGGAUUAGCUAGUUGGUGGGGUAAGGGCCGUACCAAGGCUACGAUCCAUAGCUGAUUUGAGAGGAUGAUCAGCCACAUUGGGACUGAGACACGGCCCAAACUCCUACGGGAGGCAGCAGUGGGGAACAUUGGACAAUGGGGGAAACCCUGAUCCAGCAAUGCCGCGUGAGUGAUGAAGGCCUUCGGUUGUAAAGCUCUUUUGUCAGGGACGAUGAUGACGGUACCUGACGAAUAAGCUCUGGCUAACUUCGUG